GAUGAACGCUGGCGGCGUGCCUAAUACAUGCAAGUCGAGCGAACGGACGAGAAGCUUGCUUCUCUGAUGUUAGCGGCGGACGGGUGAGUAACACGUGGAUAACCUACCUAUAAGACUGGGAUAACUUCGGGAAACCGGAGCUAAUACCGGAUAAUAUUUUGAACCGCAUGGUUCAAAAGUGAAAGACGGUCUUGCUGUCACUUAUAGAUGGAUCCGCGCUGCAUUAGCUAGUUGGUAAGGUAACGGCUUACCAAGGCAACGAUGCAUAGCCGACCUGAGAGGGUGAUCGGCCACACUGGAACUGGGACACGGUCCAGACUCCUACGGGAGGCAGCAGUAGGGAAUCUUCCGCAAUGGGCGAAAGCCUGACGGAGCAACGCCGCGUGAGUGAUGAAGGUCUUCGGAUCGUAAAACUCUGUUAUUAGGGAAGAACAUAUGUGUAAGUAACUGUGCACAUCUUGACGGUACCUAAUCAGAAAGCCACGGCUAACUACGUGCCAGCAGCCGCGGUAAUACGUAGGUGGCAAGCGUUAUCCGGAAUUAUUGGGCGUAAAGCGCGCGUAGGCGGUUUUUUAAGUCUGAUGUGAAAGCCCACGGCCCAACCGUGGAGGGUCAUUGGAAACUGGAAAACUUGAGUGCAGAAGAGGAAAGUGGAAUUCCAUGUGUAGCGGUGAAAUGCGCAGAGAUAUGGAGGAACACCAGUGGCGAAGGCGACUUUCUGGUCUGUAACUGACGCUGAUGUGCGAAAGCGUGGGGAUCAAACAGGAUUAGAUACCCUGGUAGUCCACGCCGUAAACGAUGAGUGCUAAGUGUUAGGGGGUUUCCGCCCCUUAGUGCUGCAGCUAACGCAUUAAGCACUCCGCCUGGGGAGUACGACCGCAAGGUUGAAACUCAAAGGAAUUGACGGGGACCCGCACAAGCGGUGGAGCAUGUGGUUUAAUUCGAAGCAACGCGAAGAACCUUACCAAAUCUUGACAUCCUUUGACAACUCUAGAGAUAGAGCCUUCCCCUUCGGGGGACAAAGUGACAGGUGGUGCAUGGUUGUCGUCAGCUCGUGUCGUGAGAUGUUGGGUUAAGUCCCGCAACGAGCGCAACCCUUAAGCUUAGUUGCCAUCAUUAAGUUGGGCACUCUAAGUUGACUGCCGGUGACAAACCGGAGGAAGGUGGGGACGACGUCAAAUCAUCAUGCCCCUUAUGAUUUGGGCUACACACGUGCUACAAUGGACAAUACAAAGGGCAGCGAAACCGCGAGGUCAAGCAAAUCCCAUAAAGUUGUUCUCAGUUCGGAUUGUAGUCUGCAACUCGACUACAUGAAGCUGGAAUCGCUAGUAAUCGUAGAUCAGCAUGCUACGGUGAAUACGUUCCCGGGUCU
This 1372-nucleotide ribosomal RNA is filed under the name uncultured bacterium. RNAcentral describes it as "bacterial SSU rRNA". It matches the Rfam family "Bacterial small subunit ribosomal RNA", at positions 28 to 1381 of the family's 1533-position model. The record is from RNAcentral.